RNAcentral lists this ribosomal RNA (420 nucleotides) under uncultured bacterium. Its description in RNAcentral is "bacterial SSU rRNA". It matches the Rfam family "Bacterial small subunit ribosomal RNA", at positions 355 to 774 of the family's 1533-position model. The record is from RNAcentral.
UAAGGAAUAUUGCUCAAUGGGAGAAAUCCUGAAGCAGCAACGCCGCGUGGAGGAUGAAGGGUCUAUGACUUGUAAACUCCUGUAAAGAAGGAAAAAAUUCCCAUUUGAUGGGAGAUGAUGGUACUUCUGGAGUAAGCCCCGGCUAACUACGUGCCAGCAGCCGCGGUAAUACGUAGGGGGCAAGCGUUGUCCGGAUUUACUGGGUGUAAAGGGUGCUCAGGCGGAUUUGUAAGUCAGAGGUGAAAUCUUACAGCUUAACUGUGAAACUGCCUUUGAUACUGCAAGCCUAGAGUAUGGAAGAGAGUGAUGGAAUAUCUGGUGUAGCAGUGAAAUGCGUAGAUAUCAAGAGGAACACCUGAGGCGAAGGCGGGUUGCUGGGCCGACACUGACGCUGAUGCGCGAAAGCUAGGGGAGCAAACG